Molecule: RNA transcript, 1159 nt
Organism: Strongylocentrotus purpuratus (purple sea urchin)
Lineage: Eukaryota; Metazoa; Echinodermata; Echinoidea; Camarodonta; Strongylocentrotidae
Gene name: dynein light chain 2, cytoplasmic
Exons: 2
Source: RefSeq, a predicted model, not a curated record
AGAUUAACCGCCCUCCACCAACAGAACAACGGCUUGGUUGCUAGGUAUCGCUAAGCGAGUGAUAUGAAACCCGUCCCGCUAUUUGCUGCACCUCUCCGCUGAUCACUGGACGUGUUUCUCUCUUUCUCCUAAUCGUUUUGAAAUCGAAGACGCAAACCUGUCAUCAUGUCUGAACGCAAAGCCGUGAUCAAGAACGCUGACAUGUCAGAAGACAUGCAGCAAGACGCAAUCGAAUGCGGCAACCAGGCGAUGGAGAAGUUCAAUCUGGAGAAGGACAUCGCCGCCCACAUCAAGAAGGAGUUCGACAAGAAGUACAACCCAACCUGGCAUUGCAUCGUCGGCCGCAACUUCGGCAGCUACGUGACGCACGAGACCAAGCAUUUCAUUUACUACUACCUCGGACAAAUCGCCGUGCUUCUAUUCAAAUCGGGAUAGAUUUCGUCUGAUAUCAAACUCUUUCUAAAUUAUAACCCCAUCCUCACAAACUGAUUCCUGUACAUCAAUCAUUUGAACCCAUCGAUGUGAAAGAGUUCUGGAACCAACAAAGUUACGAAUGUGGUAUAUUCAUCUUUGGAAGUUGGAACGUCCUUGAACUUUGAUCUGCAGCGCCCGGCCUUCUUAACUUAUCAACAUGACGGCAGUUCGACAGCGCCGACGGAACACGAUGAACCCUCGUGCCGACACUCGCUGUGUUUUUCGACAUGAUGAUGGUGCUCCCGGUUGGUGGUCAUUCCGACGCACUCCUUUGAGGUUUUCAUCACCGUCCAUCGAUGAUGACGACGAAGGAUGUGAGCGAAACGAUAAUGAGGGUGAUGACGAUGAUAGUGACGAUAGCGAUGUCAGACAAAACAUCAGAACUCAUCUGAAAAUAUCAGUUUCAUUAUUCACACAAGAGAAUGGAGAAAUCGACUUUUGAACAUGACUUCAAAAAAAAUGAACUUGAGCAAAUUUGUUAUCUGUUUGUAAUUAUCACUAGUUUAUGUACUAGUUUAACUUUAAAAAAAAAAUAUCUAGCCUGUCUAAUUAUUGUUUAAUUAGUAUUCCAGAUUAUUAUUCAUAACAUCUAUCCAUUUAUCACUCAAAAUGGAAUAUAGAAUUAAUCUAUGCAAUUUAAAUUUGUAUAUAUUCUGUACAUAUUAAAACUGAAAGAAAUUUUGAA